This 326-nucleotide small nuclear RNA is filed under the name Heterocephalus glaber (naked mole-rat). RNAcentral's name for it is "7SK RNA". It matches the Rfam family "7SK RNA". From Rfam's summary of the family: 7SK was discovered as an abundant small nuclear RNA in the mid-70s but a possible function has only recently been suggested. Two independent studies have found that 7SK RNA binds the CDK9/cyclin T complex (known as elongation factor P-TEFb). The record is from Rfam by way of RNAcentral. Lineage: Eukaryota; Metazoa; Chordata; Mammalia; Rodentia; Bathyergidae.
GGAUGUGAGGGUGAUCUGGCUGCGACAUCUGUCACCCCAUUGAUGGCCAGGGUUGAUUCGGCUGAUCUGGCUGGUUAGGCGGGGGUCCUCUUCCUCCCUCACCACUCCAUGUGCGUCCCUCCCGAAGCCACGCGCUCGGUAGGUCGAAGAGGACGACCACCCCCAUAGAGGAGGGCCGUUCCUCGGUCAAGGGUAUACGAGUAGCUGCGCUCCCCUGCUAGAACCUCCAAACAAGCUCUCAAGGAAUAAGUUGUCUUCUGAAGGAGAAAAAGAAGUAUCCCUUUUUCUCAUUUUUAUAAAGAUUCCACAUUAGUUAUGUGAAUUCU